GACGAACUUUGGCGGCGUGCUUAACACAUGCAAGUCGAACGGAAAGGCCCUGCUUUUGUGGGGUGCUCGAGUGGCGAACGGGUGAGUAACACGUGAGUAACCUGCCCUUGACUUUGGGAUAACUUCAGGAAACUGGGGCUAAUACCGGAUAGGAGCUCCUGCUGCAUGGUGGGGGUUGGAAAGUUUCGGCGGUUGGGGAUGGACUCGCGGCUUAUCAGCUUGUUGGUGGGGUAGUGGCUUACCAAGGCUUUGACGGGUAGCCGGCCUGAGAGGGUGACCGGCCACAUUGGGACUGAGAUACGGCCCAGACUCCUACGGGAGGCAGCAGUGGGGAAUAUUGCACAAUGGGCGGAAGCCUGAUGCAGCAACGCCGCGUGCGGGAUGACGGCCUUCGGGUUGUAAACCGCUUUCGCCUGUGACGAAGCGUGAGUGACGGUAAUGGGUAAAGAAGCACCGGCUAACUACGUGCCAGCAGCCGCGGUGAUACGUAGGGUGCGAGCGUUGUCCGGAUUUAUUGGGCGUAAAGGGCUCGUAGGUGGUUGAUCGCGUCGGAAGUGUAAUCUUGGGGCUUAACCCUGAGCGUGCUUUCGAUACGGGUUGACUUGAGGAAGGUAGGGGAGAAUGGAAUUCCUGGUGGAGCGGUGGAAUGCGCAGAUAUCAGGAGGAACACCAGUGGCGAAGGCGGUUCUCUGGGCCUUUCCUGACGCUGAGGAGCGAAAGCGUGGGGAGCGAACAGGCUUAGAUACCCUGGUAGUCCACGCUGUAAACGGUGGGUACUAGGUGUGGGGUCCAUUCCACGGGUUCCGUGCCGUAGCUAACGCUUUAAGUACCCCGCCUGGGGAGUACGGCCGCAAGGCUAAAACUCAAAGGAAUUGACGGGGCCCCGCACAAGCGGCGGAGCAUGCGGAUUAAUUCGAUGCAACGCGUAGAACCUUACCUGGGUUUGACAUGGAUCGGGAGUGCUCAGAGAUGGGUGUGCCUCUUUUGGGGUCGGUUCACAGGUGGUGCAUGCCUGUCGUCAGCUCGUGUCGUGAGAUGUUGGGUUAAGUCCCGCAACGAGCGCAACCCUUGUUCACUGUUGCCAGCACGUUAUGGUGGGGACUCAGUGGAGACCGCCGGGGUCAACUCGGAGGAAGGUGGGGAUGACGUCAAGUCCUCAUGCCCCUUAUGUCCAGGGCUUCACGCAUGCUACAAUGGCUGGUACAGAGAGUGGCGAGCCUGUGAGGGUGAGCGAAUCUCGGAAAGCCGGUCUCAGUUCGGAUUGGGGUCUGCAACUCGACCUCAUGAAGUCGGAGUCGCUAGUAAUCGCAGAACAGCAACGCUGCGGUGAAUACGUUCCCGGGGCU
RNAcentral lists this ribosomal RNA (1346 nucleotides) under uncultured bacterium. RNAcentral describes it as "bacterial SSU rRNA". It matches the Rfam family "Bacterial small subunit ribosomal RNA", at positions 28 to 1381 of the family's 1533-position model. The record is from RNAcentral.